AGUGAACGCUGGCGGCGUGCUUAACACAUGCAAGUCGAACGGAUGAAAUAAGCUUGCUUAUUUCGUUAGUGGCGCACGGGUGAGUAAUGUAUAGCAAACCCGCCCUUUAGUGGGGGACAACAGUUGGAAACGACUGCUAAUACCCCAUACUCCUUCUUAUCUUAAGAUAAGUUGGGAAAGAUUUAUUGCUAAAGGAUGGGGCUUUAUGGUAUCAGCUAGUUGGUGGGGUAACGGCCUACCAAGGCGAUGACGCCUACCUGGUCUGAGAGGAUGAUCAGGCACACUGGAACUGAGACACGGUCCAGACUCCUACGGGAGGCAGCAGUGGGGAAUAUUGCACAAUGGAGGAAACUCUGAUGCAGCAACGCCGCGUGGAGGAUGACGCACUUCGGUGUGUAAACUCCUUUUAUAAGGGAAGAUAAUGACGGUACCUUAUGAAUAAGCACCGGCUAACUCCGUGCCAGCCGCCGCCGUAA
This 476-nucleotide ribosomal RNA is filed under the name uncultured bacterium. RNAcentral describes it as "partial 16S ribosomal RNA". It matches the Rfam family "Bacterial small subunit ribosomal RNA", at positions 29 to 523 of the family's 1533-position model. The record is from RNAcentral.